GUGAGGAAUAUUGGUCAAUGGGCGAGAGCCUGAACCAGCCAAGUCGCGUGAAGGAAGAAGGAUCUAUGGUUCGUAAACUUCUUUUGCAGGGGAAUAAAGUGCAGGACGUGUCCUGUCUUGUAUGUACCCUGAGAAUAAGGAUCGGCUAACUUCGUGCCAGCAGCCGCGGUAAUACGGAGGAUCCGAGCGUUAUCCGGAUGUAUUGGGUUUAAAGGGUGCGUAGGUGGUUUGAUAAGUCAGCGGUGAAAGUUUGCAGCUUAACUGUAAAAAUGCCGUUGAAACUGUCGGACUUGAGUGUAAAUGAGGUAGGCGGAAUGCGUGGUGUAGCGGUGAAAUGCAUAGAUAUCACGCAGAACUCCGAUUGCGAAGGCAGCUUACUAAGCUACAACUGACACUGAAGCACGAAAGCGUGGGGAUCAAACAGGAUUAGAAACCCGUGUAGUCC
RNAcentral lists this ribosomal RNA (445 nucleotides) under uncultured bacterium. RNAcentral describes it as "partial 16S ribosomal RNA". It matches the Rfam family "Bacterial small subunit ribosomal RNA", at positions 354 to 796 of the family's 1533-position model. The record is from RNAcentral.